This 670-nucleotide ribosomal RNA is filed under the name uncultured Alphaproteobacteria bacterium. RNAcentral describes it as "bacterial SSU rRNA". It matches the Rfam family "Bacterial small subunit ribosomal RNA", at positions 65 to 781 of the family's 1533-position model. The record is from RNAcentral. Lineage: Bacteria; Pseudomonadati; Pseudomonadota; Alphaproteobacteria.
AGCGCGCCCUUCGGGGUGGGCGGCGGACGGGUUAGUAACGCGUGGGAACGUGCCCAGAUCUAAGGAAUAGCCACUGGAAACGGUGAGUAAUACCUUAUACGCCCUUCGGGGGAAAGAUUUAUCGGAUUUGGAUCGGCCUGCGUUAGAUUAGGUAGUUGGUGGGGUAAUGGCCUACCAAGCCUACGAUCUAUAGCUGGUUUUAGAGGAUGAUCAGCAACACUGGGACUGAGACACGGCCCAGACUCCUACGGGAGGCAGCAGUGGGGAAUCUUGGACAAUGGGGGGAACCCUGAUCCAGCCAUGCCGCGUGAGUGAUGAAGGCCUUAGGGUCGUAAAGCUCUUUCGCCUGUGAUGAUAAUGACAGUAGCAGGUAAAGAAACCCCGGCUAACUCCGUGCCAGCAGCCGCGGUAAUACGGAGGGGGUUAGCGUUGUUCGGAAUUACUGGGCGUAAAGCGCGCGUAGGCGGAUUAGUCAGUUAGAGGUGAAAUCCCAGGGCUCAACCCUGGAACUGCCUUUAAUACUGCUAGUCUUGAGUUCGAGAGAGGUGAGUGGAAUUCCGAGUGUAGAGGUGAAAUUCGUAGAUAUUCGGAGGAACACCAGUGGCGAAGGCGGCUCACUGGCUCGAUACUGACGCUGAGGUGCGAAAGUGUGGGGAGCAAACAGGAUUAG